UUAAGGUUAGUUAAUCUAAAUAAUACUAAGUCGUCAACCUAGAGUUGCUGGGUCACUAGCACCUUAAU
This 68-nucleotide transfer RNA is filed under the name Cerion incanum. RNAcentral describes it as "tRNA-Asp". The record is from RNAcentral. Lineage: Eukaryota; Metazoa; Mollusca; Gastropoda; Stylommatophora; Cerionidae.